RNAcentral lists this non-coding RNA (249 nucleotides) under Streptomyces afghaniensis 772. RNAcentral's name for it is "Bacterial large subunit ribosomal RNA". It matches the Rfam family "Bacterial large subunit ribosomal RNA", at positions 2658 to 2904 of the family's 2925-position model. The record is from Rfam by way of RNAcentral. Lineage: Bacteria; Bacillati; Actinomycetota; Actinomycetes; Kitasatosporales; Streptomycetaceae.
AGUCUUGAGAAGGGCUGUCCCUAGUACGAGAGGACCGGGACGGACGAACCUCUGGUGUGCCAGUUGUUCUGCCAAGGGCAUGGCUGGUUGGCUACGUUCGGGAGGGACUAACCGCUGAAAGCAUCUAAGCGGAAGCCUGCUUCGAGAUGAGGACUCCCACUCCUAGAGAGGGUAAGGCUCCCAGUAGACGACUGGGUUGAUAGGCCGGAUAUGGAAGCACGGUAACGUGUGGACGUUGACCGGUACUAA